AGCCUGCCCAGUGACAAAGUUCAACGGCCGCGGUACCCUAACCGCGCGAAGGUAGCAUAAUCACUUGUUCUUUAAAUAGGGACUAGUAUCAACGGCAUCACGAGGGUUGCACUGUCUCCUUUCUCCAAUCAGUGAAACUGAUCUCCCCGUGAAGAAGCGGGGAUUCUUCUAUAAGACGAGAAGACCCUAUGGAGCUUUAAACCCAACAACAAACCUGUCAUAUUAUUCUUCAUAACCUACAGGAAUCAUGUUUGUUGGUUUUAGGUUGGGGUGACCGCGGAGUAAAACUUAUCCUCCACGACGAAAAGAACUAAAUCUUUAUCUAAGAGACACCACUCUAAGAAUUAGUAUACUAACGGACAAUGACCCAAUAUUUGAUCAACGGACCAAGUUACCCUAGGGAUAACAGCGCAAUCUACUUUGAGAGCUCCUAUCGACAAGUAGGCUUACGACCUCGAUGUUGGAUCAGGGUAUCCCAGUGGUGCAGCCGCUACUGAAGGUUCGUUUGUUCAACGAUUAAAACCCUACGUGAUCUGUUU
RNAcentral lists this ribosomal RNA (539 nucleotides) under Liuixalus romeri (Romer's bubble-nest frog). RNAcentral describes it as "partial 16S ribosomal RNA". It matches the Rfam family "Bacterial large subunit ribosomal RNA", at positions 1856 to 2610 of the family's 2925-position model. The record is from RNAcentral. Lineage: Eukaryota; Metazoa; Chordata; Amphibia; Anura; Rhacophoridae.